Molecule: ribosomal RNA, 439 nt
Filed under: uncultured bacterium
Lineage: Bacteria
Description: bacterial SSU rRNA
Rfam family: Bacterial small subunit ribosomal RNA
Source: RNAcentral
UACGGAAGGCAGCAGUGGGGAAUAUUGCACAAUGGGCGAAAGCCUGAUGCAGCAACGCCGCGUGAGGGAUGACGGCCUUCGGGUUGUAAACCUCUUUUAGUAGGGAAGAAGCGAAAGUGACGGUACCUGCAGAAAAAGCACCGGCUAACUACGUGCCAGCAGCCGCGGUAAUACGUAGGGUGCAAGCGUUGUCCGGAAUUAUUGGGCGUAAAGAGCUCGUAGGCGGUUUGUCGCGUCUGCUGUGAAAUCCCGAGGCUCAACCUCGGGCUUGCAGUGGGUACGGGCAGACUAGAGUGCGGUAGGGGAGAUUGGAAUUCCUGGUGUAGCGGUGGAAUGCGCAGAUAUCAGGAGGAACACCGAUGGCGAAGGCAGAUCUCUGGGCCGUAACUGACGCUGAGGAGCGAAAGCAUGGGGAGCGAACAGGGAUUAGGAUACCCGU